GUUCUAAAGCAGCUACAGCACCAGUACAGCUGAUACUCAAGGUUCAGAUCAGAAGAGGAGGCUUCUCACCCGGCAGCAGGGACCUGUGAGCAUGGCAUGCCCCGGCUUCCUGUGGGCACUUGUGAUCUCCACCUGUCUUGAAUCCGGCAUGGCCCAGACAGUCACUCAGUCUCAACCAGAGAUGUCUGUGCAGGAGGCAGAGACCGUGACCCUGAGCUGCACAUAUGACACCAGUGACAGUGAUUAUUAUUUGUUCUGGUACAAGCAGCCUCCCAGCAGGCAGAUGAUUCUCAUUAUUCGCCAAGAAGCUUAUAAGCAACAGAAUGCAACAGAGAAUCGUUUCUCUGUGAACUUCCAGAAAGCAACCAAAUCCUUCAGUCUCAAGAUCUCAGACUCACAGCUGGGGGACGCCGCGAUGUAUUUCUGUGCUUAUAGGAGCGCACAGUGAAAUAAGCAACAGGGAGAGGCUUACAGAAACCUCAGACCUCAGCAUCUGUGUAAAGGUCAGGGGGAAGUGUUCAGGGUUAUAGGAACACAAAGAGGAAAUCAUUGUCUUCACUAAAGGAAAAAAAAAAUGUAUCUGACUAUAGGAAACACAGAGGGGAUGUCUAUCAGCUGUAAUUUUUGAAAUAGUAAUAAAAUAAUGAAUCCACACAUGCUUUAUAGAUUUUCAAAAUACCUUCACGUG
Molecule: non-coding RNA, 688 nt
Organism: Macaca mulatta (Rhesus monkey)
Lineage: Eukaryota; Metazoa; Chordata; Mammalia; Primates; Cercopithecidae
Source: the annotation of a RefSeq genome assembly